Molecule: ribosomal RNA, 253 nt
Filed under: uncultured bacterium
Lineage: Bacteria
Description: partial 16S ribosomal RNA
Rfam family: Bacterial small subunit ribosomal RNA
Source: RNAcentral
UACGAAGGGGGCUAGCGUUGUUCGGAAUCACUGGGCGUAAAGCGCACGUAGGCGGAUCUUUAAGUCAGGGGUGAAAUCCCGAGGCUCAACCUCGGAACUGCCUUUGAUACUGGGGAUCUCGAGUCCGGGAGAGGUGAGUGGAACUCGUGAGUGUAGAGGUGAAAUUCGUAGAUAUUAGGAAGAACACCAGUGGCGAAGGCGGCUCACUGGCCCGGUACUGACGCUGAGAUACGAAAGCGUGGGGAGCAACAGG